This 253-nucleotide ribosomal RNA is filed under the name uncultured bacterium. RNAcentral describes it as "partial 16S ribosomal RNA". It matches the Rfam family "Bacterial small subunit ribosomal RNA", at positions 524 to 776 of the family's 1533-position model. The record is from RNAcentral.
UACGAAGGGGGCUAGCGUUGUUCGGAAUUACUGGGUGUAAAGCGCGCGCAGGCGGUCCUUUAAGUCGGGGGUGAAAGCCCAGAGCUCAACUCUGGAACUGCCUUCGAAACUAGAGGACUUGGGUACGGGAGAGGUGAGUGGAAUUCCGAGUGUAGAGGUGAAAUUCGUAGAUAUUCGGAAGAACACCAGUGGCGAAGGCGGCUCACUGGCCCGUUACCGACGCUCAGGCGCGACAGCGUGGGGAGCAAACAGG